This 253-nucleotide ribosomal RNA is filed under the name uncultured bacterium. RNAcentral's name for it is "partial 16S ribosomal RNA". It matches the Rfam family "Bacterial small subunit ribosomal RNA", at positions 524 to 776 of the family's 1533-position model. The record is from RNAcentral.
UACGAAGGGGGCUAGAGUUUUUCGGAAUUACUGGGCGUAAAGGGCGCGUAGGCGGUCUUGUAAGUCAGAUGUGAAAGCCCCGGGCUCAACCCGGGAAUAGCAUUUGCUACUGCGAGGCUUGAGUCCGGGAGAGGAUGGCGGAAUUCCCAGUGUAGAGGUGAAAUUCGUAGAUAUUGGGAAGAACACCGGUGGCGAAGGCGGCCAUCUGGACCGGUACUGACGCUGAGGCGCGAAAGCGUGUGGAGCAAACAGG